Long non-coding RNA from Styela clava, 474 nucleotides. RefSeq lists it as uncharacterized. The record is from RefSeq and is a predicted model, not a curated record. Lineage: Eukaryota; Metazoa; Chordata; Ascidiacea; Stolidobranchia; Styelidae.
UUAUUAUGACGUAACACUAUUAUAGAUACAUUCAAUUAUUUUCAAUUUUCAUUAUUUAUUUAUUCAAGUUUGAAGCGCUUAGGAGAAAAUUAAAUUUUUAAAAGCUGAAACAUGUAGCCUUAUUCUCAAGAAUAUAGAACCGUGAUGUUUGUGCGAAUGAUCCAAUUAUCAAUGUGCAUAACUUGCAUCGUGGUUAUGGAAAUAUUGCAUGCUGUUUUGGAUAAAGGAAUAUAUGCUCUGCUGAUAUUUCUCAAUUUUUCAUUGCAGUUUGUUCGGGAAAUGGCAGAUGACUGUCUCGCUAUCACCACAAGGCAAAUCAAAACCAAGAAGCAGUCAUAGAAGCACAAAUAUCUGCGGAGUUUACACGGAAUUCUCAGAAAAGUGUUAAUAUAUGUAAAGUUAAUAUAUGUAAACUACUUUUUCCAUUGUAUUUCUGUGCUAAUACCGUCCAACUGAAAAAGUCUAACAUCAAAA